RNAcentral lists this ribosomal RNA (393 nucleotides) under uncultured bacterium. Its description in RNAcentral is "partial 16S ribosomal RNA". It matches the Rfam family "Bacterial small subunit ribosomal RNA", at positions 523 to 918 of the family's 1533-position model. The record is from RNAcentral.
AUACGGAGGAUGCGAGCGUUAUCCGGAUUUAUUGGGUUUAAAGGGAGCGUAGGUGGGAUAUUAAGUCAGCUGUGAAAGUUUGGGGCUCAACCUUAAAAUUGCUGUUGAUACUGGUUUCCUUGAGUACGGUACAGGUGGGCGGAAUUCGUGGUGUAGCGGUGAAACGCUUAGAUAUCACGAAGAACUCCGAUCGCGAAGGCAGCUCACCGGGCCGGAACUGACACUGAUGCUCGAAAGUGCGGGUAUCAAACAGGAUUAGAUACCCUGGUAGUCCGCACAGUAAACGAUGAAUACUCGCUGUUUGCGAUACACUGUAAGCGGCCAAGCGAAAGCGUUAAGUAUUCCACCUGGGGAGUACGCCGGCAACGGUGAAACUUAAAGGAAUCGACGGGG